AUGGCUUGGGCCAAGGUGGGCGCUUGCAAGUCCAUCCAGGAGCUACAGAGGAAGAAGCAGUCCGAUGAAAUGCGCUUCUCAGGGUGCACGCUGGCAGGACCACCAGCUCUCUGCGCUCCACAGGGCCCCCCACCCAACCUGGCCUGAUAAAGCGUUCAGGCUGGGGUACAAGGCCAAGCAAGGUUAUGUCAUAUAUCAGACUCGUGUGCAUUGUGGUGGCCGCAAACGCCCAGUUCCUAAGGGUGCUACCUCUGGCAAGCCUGUCCAUCAUGGUGGUAACCAGCUCAAGUUUGCCUGAAGCCUUCAGUCUGUUGCAGAGGAGUGAAUUGGAUGCCACUGGGGCUCUGAGAGUCUUGAAUUCUUCCUGGGUUGGUGAAGAUUCCACAUACUAAUUCUUUGAGGUUAUCCUCAUUGAUCCAUUCCAUAAAGCUAUCGGAAGAAAUCCUGACACCCAGUGGAUCACCAAACCAGUCCACAAGCACAGGGAGAUGCGAGGGCUAACAUCCGCAGGCCCAAGAGCCGUGGCCUUGGAAAGGGUCACAAGUUCCACCACACUAUUGGUGGUUCUUGCCAUGCAGCAUGGAGAAGAUGCAGUAUCCUCCGCCUCCACCAUUACUGCUAACAUAGGUAAUAUUUGUAAAAUUCUUACCUAAUAAAUAAUUCAGGACAGUCAAAAAAAAAAAAAAGAAAUUGCAUUCCAAGUACAGGGGUAGAAAGAACAGAAUCAUGGAAGGAAUAAGUAGUGUAGUAUAUUAGGAGACCUCCAUUGGUUUUUUGCAGGAAGGCAAAGAGCAAAGGGAAAGUAGUGGGAAGUGAGGAUGGCCUGGAUUUCCAGUGUCUGCUAGACUAAGAAGGCUGUGAUAUGAUCAACUUUGCCUGUUAGAAUGAUCAUUUUGCAGCUGUGGGGAGAAUGGAUUUGCAGGCAAGAGCCUAUGAGGUCCCCUUCAUGAUAAAAAAAAAAAAACCCACCCUCCCCAACCCCAAAACCUCAUUAGGAAUGGAAUGGAGCUCCCUUAAAUGGAUAAAGACCAUUUGUUGCAAAACCCACUGCUAACAUCAUGCCCAGUGGUGAAAGACUAAAGGCUCUCCCCUUAAGAUCCAGAAUGAAACAAGGAUGCCCACACUUGUCAUUCUUAUUAAAUAUUGUACAAGUAGCUCUAGCUGGAUAAUUGGGCCAGGAGAUGAAAUCAAAACCAUCCACGGUAGAAAGGAAGUAAAAUGCACCUCCAUUUGCAGAUAGCAUGAUGUUGUAGAAGUAAAUUCACUAGAACACUCUUAGAACUAAUACGUUCAGUAAGGUAGCAGGAUAUAAGAUCUGUAUGCAAAAGUCAGUUGUAUUAGUAAAUAAUUAAAAUGAACAACCAGGAAAUUAAAUUAAGAAUAUAAUUCUUUUCAUAAUAUUAAAAGUUAAUUAGGAAUAAAAUGAACAAAAAACUACAAGGCUUGUGUACUGAACACUACAAAACAUCACAGAAGUUUAGGAAGACCGAAGUAAUAAAAAGACAUCCCAAGUUUACAGGUUGGAAGGCUUCAUAUUGUUGAGUUGGCAGUACCACCCAGACCAAUGCACAGAUUCCUUGCAGUCUCCAUCAAAAUCCCCGCUGGGUUCUUUUGCAAAAAUCAAGCUGAUCCUCAACUGCAUGUUUUUCUAGCAUGAGUUCCUGGGAGAAUGGCUUCACUCAGACAUUGCCAACUUAAUACGAGGUUGACAGGUGUGAGGCAUGACGAUGUCUAAGGCCUUGUUCUAAGCCUGUGACCUAUAUUCAAGAGGUAAUCUUUACAAGCCUGUACGUCCACACUGAUGGGUGAGGAAAUGGGAAGGAAGUAGCCCUAGGUCACACAGCUGGAAGCUGGGGAGCCAGGAUUCCAACACCAUCAUUCUGGUACCACAACCCAUGGUCUUGACCCCUACUGAAUACUGCUUCUUUCCCCAGUGAGAGAAUACAAGAGCUAAGUGGAACAUUCUGAGCCAGAGGCUUCUGGACAUGUAGGUAGAGGUGCUAAGCAGAUGGUUGGCUUCAUAUCUGGAAGUUGAGGAGAGGGCUUGGCCUCUGAUCAGGAUCUGAGCACCAUCAACAUAAAAGCAGUAUUGUCAUCAUGGUUGGGAGAAGGUAGUGAGAUGGGCAGGUAGGUGAUAUCAGACUCAUGUUUCACAGGAACUGAGAGACUAAAGGUCAGGGGUCGAAUUGGCCUCUUGCAAAAUUCGUAUGUGGACAUCCUAACCCCGGGACCUCAGACUGUGACCUUAUUUGGAGAUAGUUUUUAUAGAGACAGUCUAGUGAAAGUGAGGUCCUGAGGGUGGGCCCCAAUCCAAUAUGACUGGUGUCCUUAUCGAAAGGGAAACUUGGAGAUGGACAUGCCCACAGGGAGGAUGCAUGUAAAUGUGCAGACAACCAUCUCCAAGCCAAGAAGAGGCCUCGGAAGUAACUGUCCUUGCCGACACCCAUCUCAGACUUCCAGCCCCCAGGAUUAUGAGAUGAGAAAUUUCUGUUGUCUCAACCACCUGGUUUUGGUACUUUAUUCUGGCAGCACCAACGGGCUAAUGCAGGAAGGAAGGAAGAACGUCCAAUAGGAGGGAUUAUCAACAGUGUCAAGUCCGUAGAGGACAGAACCCAGACCUGCCUACCAGGUCUGAGCCAGCUCCCAGUACCUGACAUCACAGUGCCUCCCGAGCAGGCCUGCUUUGUCGCUGUUGUGACCUGAGGUGACAUCCCCUGCUGAGUCAUGUUCUGGCCCCUCCAGAGCAGGAGUGGGAGCAUCAGGGACCCCUCGAUCCCCCUUGAUCCCAUCAUUGGCUGUCAGUCUCAACCUCUCCUAAGCUUGAGUUUUUGCAAGCCAGAUGUGGGAGUUAGAUGAGUCCUUGUUAAAUGUCAUCUCACUGGUUUUGAUUCCCCACAUCGCCCAGUAUGUUGCUUAAAAUUUCAGCUCUGCUGUCUUUCAGGUAAGCUUUCCCCGGAGACAUGUGGUGUCCCCAGAAUUGAAAGGGAUUUGCUUAUUUUGCGCUUAUCUAAGUGACCGAAAAGAGGGAAAACCUGUAGGAGACAAUACCAGAGGGGCAGCAGCCGCGGGCAGCGCCCCAGCUGUGCCCCUGGGGUCCUGGGGAAAGUCUGUCUUCUCUUGGUUCCCGGGUCCCGGGACCACCUGCGGCAGCCCUCAGUCCCUGCUUCUUGACUCCUCUGUAGGCACCUCCUCUUCCCUGCCCCUCAGUGUGGGCAGUGCUGGAGCUGGGUUCUUCACCAGUUGGCCCUUAUGCUUCUGUGUCUUGACGAUCCCCUCUCCGCUCCUGGUGCUAGUUCCUGCCUGUGGCUCUCAGUGGUUCUCCCGGCUGAUUGCUUUGAUCCAGCUGGUAUCCACCCCAGGUAACUCUUGGGCUUCAGUGUCCUCUUCUAUAGAACGAGGGGAGUAAUAAUAAUAACAGACCACGCGAGGGCGUUAAGAUGAUCGAACGAGGUAAUACAGCUGGAGAGUUUAUUGGCAGUAGUGCCCGGUACACGCGAAGUCCUCUGUACGUGGUCCCGUUACUGCGACCACCACCACGGGCACGUGACCGCCGCUGACUCCAGCCCGCGUGUCCCAGGGCGCCUCGCCACGCACGGCAGGCUGCAAGUGUUGAACUCCGGUCGGGCAGCUCUCCCGUUGCCGCUUCUCACCCGGCCUGAAAUCCUUUGCAGUUUAUGCAGGGUUGACCUGAAUUCUCACCUCUCUCCCCAUGUGUGCGUGCAGUGUCCUAGAGUGUCCUCUCAUGCCGGUUCCUCAGGGCUCACGCCGCUGCUCCGCGUACUCGGUGAAGUUGAGCAAACGCUUGGAUGAGAUGAGCAGGGCACUAAUCAGUAUUUGCCAGCCACCGUGAAGAUGAUGAUUUAUAUACGUGUUAACCAUCACCGCAGCCCUUUAUGGUGGGCAUUUGAUCCCCUCGUCCCAACUGAACACUUUGAAGUCCAGUUGCUGAUCCGGGAGAAUAAUAUUCAUACUCCUUCUUGAGUGCUGAGGAACCUGGAGCUACUUAGAACCUCCUGGUCCGUUCAGAACUAGCUUGCCAUCUCGGGCCCUGCUGACUGUGCCCGUGGGACCCACUGCUUGCUGUGUGCAGGGGGACCAGAGAGUGGGGAGCGGCCAGGGGCUGAGUGCACCAUUGCUCUCAGGAGUGCGAGCAUGAUCGGGCCUGCCCACCUGGAAGGUGCCUUCAUGUAUUGUGUUAUUUGGCUCCACCAGACAAACUGGUUUAGCACAACAAAGUACAGACUGAAAAUGUAAAAGAUUUACCUCUGUCCUGUUUCUGUUCUAGAUGCAGUGAACCACUCCCAAAUGGGUUAACUGCUUCCAGAAACCUAAUCAAUAGGACAUGGCUGUAAAUAGUAUCUGUAAAUUAGCAAUUUGCAAUCCCAAUAAAAUAUGAACAGAUUGCAACAAUAAAUAGAAGAACUGAGCACAAAAUGAGAGUAACUCUAUUUGUGUUGUUCAUUAUAUCAUUCAUCUUGGGCUCAGAACUCUGAAUGUACCAGUUCCAAGAAUCUUUUUACACCUUCUGUUGCAAGGUGAAUGUUAAGUAUUGUUGGACAGGAGUCUCUAAACGAAUUGCCUGAAGUUUUCUCUGAACUUCAGCAAGAGAGCUGGAAGGCAGGCACCCAAAAAGAAGGCCUUUUUUGGAGGGGCCUCCUGGGGUUGGGGUGAGGGUUGGAGUGGAUGUGAGGCCCUCAGUGAGACACUGUGGACCGUGGGCUGUCAGACAUGCUUCCUGAGGGGUUCUUACUGUCCUGAGCCUCGGUAUGAGCAGUUGAUGACGUAGUGGUGCAUUAAAUGUCUCCAGGCAGUAAGAAUGAGGUGAUUAGCGGACAGUCCUCAAGCUUCUUCUUAUGUACUGAGUCCAGUAAGUACAUUGGGUUUUUUUUUUCUCUGACAACAGAAAAUUUGGCAUAGAAACCACUUCAGUGUAAUAUGGCCGACUCUAGAAGCCAGGUAUGGAAGUCCGGUGAAAAUGUGGUUAAUUCCUAUGAUUGGUGAGUGGAAGUUAACUGUGAAAGUACCAAAUCCCGAGUGAGGGAGUUAGUUUCAUAACAGUGGUCUGGAGCUAUAACUACUAAAUGUUGGGGUAUACCUGACCUCUCAAGUGGUCUAGGUGCUUUCCUCCCUCCCUGCCCACACUCCCCUUGUGCUGUUGGUGGUGGUGUGGCCUGUUCCUAUGCCCACUUGAGGAUGAGCUCCUGAGGGCAGGCCUCGGCUGUCUCGUUCAUUGCCACACCCCGAGCCAGCACCCGGCGCACGGUAGGAUCCCAGCAAACAUUCCCGAGUAAGUGAAUGAAUGCAUGGCUGUCUUCCCUGUCGAUUGAAAGUCCCACAGGAGAGGUUGCGUGUGCGUAGCCUCCUACAGCCCCAGAGCCUCCUGGCGUCUGGUACUAGGUGUGGGGGUCCGGGCCUGGAGGCGUGGGUGCUAACACCAUAUGCUUUCCCCGGGCAGUGGGGUGUCCCUUUGCCUCUGUCUCCUCUUCUGUAAAUUCCUUCUCUGUGGCUUAUUUUGAGAAUCAAAUGAAAUAAUACAUAAAAGAUGCUUUUAAAACCAUGAAGUAUUAUUGGUGAUUGAGCUGUGUGUGUGUUCUGUCUACCUUCCAUCACUGUAAUUAUGCUCAUUUAGGCCAGAGUGAUGUUCGUGCUUAAGAUGAAAAUAACUCCGAUAAUGUUCGUAAGUUUGGAUUUAUUCUUUGAUUCCCCAUCUUCCUGCCACGAAGUUAUCAAGCUAUAAAUAAAUAUUAUGACUUUUAUGACAGAGGAGUGGAAACAGCGCUUCUUCCCUGACACAGCCAACUUGUCUUUACGGUGUUAGCCAGCGCAACUUGGUGUCCCCUUGAAUUAUUGAUUCUGCCCUGCUGUCUCAUGCCUAGAAUUAAGGUAUCAGCUGAGAAACAGAGUUGUUUGUGAGAUGUGAGCUUCUGUGUGUAUGCUAAGAGCAUCUGUGCUGCCCCCACUAAAGAAAAUAAUUCAAGUGUACAUUGAAUGAGAGGUGUGAGGCAUUAUGGUUGGCGUAGGGGAGGGGCUCCCAUGUUCUUGUCUCAGGAAGCUCUUAGGCUUCAUAGGAUUUUCUGCUUAGGUUCAUACUAACGUGGGUAUUUUGCUGUUGAAUAUUGCAGGAUAGAGUAAAACAUGGAACCGAGAGGCAGUCAUACAGAAGGAAAAGAAUAAAUUGAUACUUGAAUAGAAACAGGAGGAAACUUGUCUUUAUUGAGCAUCUGUGUUAUGUGAUGGAUGAUCUCAGUACUUCAUUGGAUUAGUUACCAUAAUCAUACUGCAAGAUGAGUGUGCUUAUCCCCGUGUUUUUCAAAACCAAGGCUCAUAGCUAGUAAGUUGCCCAAGGUGAUAGUUCAUAAAUGACAGGGCAGGUGGUUUCAGAGCAUGGUGUGUGGGUAACUAUAAGAAGCUUAUAGUUAUUACUCAUUAUAAAGUACAAGAGGCACAGUGGUAGGUGAGCACCACACCAUUAAGAUGGAAGGAAGAUUUUUAUAGGAAUUUAAAAGCUCAAAUUGAUUAUAAAAUGUCAUAAUGUUGUUAUUUAAAAAUAGUUUAAAGUAGUUGUUGCUAGGAGCAUGGUUUUUUUUGUAAAUUUUUUUUUUAGAUUUUAUUUAUUUAUUUGACAGAGCACAUGUGCACACAAGCAGGGGGAGCGGCAGGCAGAGGGAGAGGGAGGAGCAGGGUCCCCGCAGAGCAGGGAGCCCGAUGCGGGGCUCGAUGCGGGGCUCGAUCCAGGACCCUGGGAUCAUGACCUGAGCCGAAGGCAAACGCUUAAUGACUGAGCCACCCGGGGGCGCCCCACAGAGCAUGCUUUCUUAAUGGAGAUCCAUUGGCUUGAGUAGAAGUCAAGUUGAAAACUGUGUAUAUAUGUACACUGUCAUGUUCAUCGCCUGCCCUGCCCACAUGCAUGCAUGGUACCUGUGGACACCUUCUCCCAGAGAGUGAGUGCAGGAUUUAGUUCUUCCCUGAACCCUACUUGGAACGGGCCGUGGUAUGAGGGGGUAGACAGCUGCUUGCUGUGGCGACCGUCACACAUGCCUUGUGGCCACACAGCUACUCCUGUGUUUUGUGCCACCUUCCACGUGAAUUCUGUAGAUAUACAGUAUUUCCUGAUACUUUCUCAAAAAAGGUGGUUUUGAAAAUUUAACUAGUGUAUUGAACAUCCACUUGUUAGUUGGAUUGAGUCAGCUCUGUUAUAUGCCAGGUAUUAUAUGAACUUUUAUAUACACUGUCUCAUUUUAGGUAGUAAGUAGUGAACUUAGGUGAUAUUUUCAGUAAAGGAGAGACGGUGAAGAUGGAAUUCCAGCCCAGAUGGCCCGGUGAGGUCCUGCUUUGUCUUGUCCUUGCCAGCAAAGGGGCUUAGACAAUAACAGGAAAAAUUUAAAAGGAGAAAACCAGAAAUACCUGUGAGUUAAAAAAAUUAGAUAAGCAAAUCCCAUGAAAUAGAAAAAAAAAAUGAAGCAGUUAGCUGGGUUCUAGGUUCGUUGGUGGCUACAAUUUUAGCAUAGUGCAAAAAACCUAAAUAAAACAGUAGCAAAUCAGACUCUGAUGGGUAUAAAAGGAAUAAUAUGUCACGACCAAGUAGAUUUUAUCUCAGAAAUGCGAGGAUGGUUCUAAGCCAGGAAAUCUGUGUGACCUAUAUCAUACUAGCAAAUCAACUGAAAGAAAAAUACAAAAAUUUAAUAGUUACAAAAAAGAUAAAACUCAACAUAUAUUCAUACUGACUCUUAAUAAACCAAGACUGUGACGGAGUAUUAGCUUAAUUAAGGGUGUUUGUGAAAAAUCUAUAAGAAACACACUUAGAAGUGAAACUUCAGACACAUGAUCUUUUUAAGAAAUGAUAAGAAAAGAUUAAACACAUAAGAGGUGUGUGAAUUAUAAUGGGAGAAACAAAACUGCAGAUGGGGGAUUGUCUAUGUGGAAAAUUCAAGAGACUAUGGACAGACCAUUAGAAUUGGAGAGUUCAAGUUUUCUUAAUUAAAAAAAAUAGCAUAUCUCCGUGCCAAUAAAAGCCAAUCAGAAGAUACAACUUAGAAUAUUCACAUUCACACUAGUGACCAGUACUCUGCUAUUGUUAAAAAAAAAAUCCAGCCAUGUAUGUAAGACCUUUAUGAAGGCUGUCACAAAACAUACAAGUAGACCUGAUAAAAUAGCAAAUGAUACACUAUGUGGAGGGGAAGACUUGAUAUUUUGAAGAUGUUGACUUACAGCCAGAUCUGUGGAUUACCUAUAAUUCCUAGCAAAAUUCCAACAGGUUUUAAAAUCAACUUGACAUGCUAAUUUUAGAAUUCAUAUAGAAGAACGAGCCAAGAGUAGCCAAGAAGAAAGUGACCAAGUUGUGGAGUCUUGCCCCAUGAGAUAGUAAGGCUUGUGAAGCGAGAGUAAUUAGAACCAUCUGAUGAAUGUACAGGGAGAGAUAGACAAAUGGAAGAAAAUAGAAAGCCCCAAAUCAAAUCCGUAGGUAUAGGGAAAUUGGACAUGCCUUAUUUCAUUAAUUCUACGAAAUACCUCUAUUUUAUCGCUAAAAUACAAUUUCAUCUUAUUUAUGAUGUUUUAUAAUUGUUGUCAGCCAGAUGGCAGACCUAACAUGGUUUUGUAAGAACCUUCUGAGGAGAAUUUUAGAACUGAUGGAAUGUGGAAUGGCAGGGAGAUGUUCUAAAUCAGUGGGAGCAAGGAAGAACCUUUUCAUAAACGGUGCUGGCACGUUUGGUUAUACAUAUGGGAGGAACCCAGGAGUACCAUAAGCAAGAUCAGUAUCGGAUAGGAUAAAUAUUCCAGGAUGAAAAAGCAACAUGUUUGCAGUUUUAGAAGAUCGUAUAGGGGGUGACCCAGGGGAGGGGCAGGGUUUCUUCAGCUUGGCAUACAGAGCAUAAACCGGAAAGGAGGAGGCUGUCCAGCUUGAUUACAUCACACUCUUACAAAAUCCUGCAAAGGAGAAUGUGAGCAAAAUUUAAAGCUAAGUCACAUGUAUGUUAUGACAUUUUAUGCGUUGUUAGGUCUAUAUGAUAAAUCCCAAGUGAAGAAAAAGUUAAGGAGAUAGAGGGAGAGAGAAUCCACAGAAAGGGAGAUGUGAUCAGCACCCUUAACUAACAAAGGACUAGAUUGUACGAGGGAUUAUCACUGAUGCUUGAAUCUGGAAGCAGCAGUUAGGGAAGCAGGUGGUGGAGCCGAGCAGACCUGCAGGAAGAGGAAGCCUGAGCCGGCUCAGCCAUGCAGAUGCUCCUGUUUGGUCCCUCUUGCCUGACAGGCGCCUGUGCCCCGCCCGUGAUUAAAUAGCAGUAGUAA
This is an RNA transcript of Mirounga angustirostris (Northern elephant seal), 9285 nucleotides long. It is a transcript of the gene named large ribosomal subunit protein eL15-like, with no coding region annotated. The transcript has 2 exons. The record is from RefSeq and is a predicted model, not a curated record. Lineage: Eukaryota; Metazoa; Chordata; Mammalia; Carnivora; Phocidae.